CCUACGGGUGGCAGCAGUGGGGAAUAUUGGGCAAUGGGCGCAAGCCUGACCCAGCAACGCCGCGUGAAGGAAGAAGGCUUUCGGGUUGUAAACUUCUUUUCUCAGGGACGAAGCAAGUGACGGUACCUGAGGAAUAAGCCACGGCUAACUACGUGCCAGCAGCCGCGGUAAUACGUAGGCGGCAAGCGUUAUCCGGAUUUACUGGGUGUAAAGGGCGUGUAGGCGGGACAGCAAGUCAGAUGUGAAAACCACGGGCUUAACCCGUGGCCUGCAUUUGAAACUGUAGUUCUUGAGUACUGGAGGGGCAGACGGAAUUCCUAGUGUAGCGGUGAAAUGCGUAGAUAAUAGGAGGAACACCAGUGGCGAAGGCGGUCUGCUGGACAGCAACUGACGCUGAGG
Molecule: ribosomal RNA, 399 nt
Filed under: uncultured bacterium
Lineage: Bacteria
Description: partial 16S ribosomal RNA
Rfam family: Bacterial small subunit ribosomal RNA
Source: RNAcentral